AUCAGACCAGGCAACAUUCUUCCAGUCUUCAACUGUCCAAUUUUGGAUGUCACCUGCAUAGAGGAACUAUGACGUCGGUAACCGGGAGUUGCUGGUAGUCAAGGCUGCACUAGAGGAAUGGCGUCACUGGCUGGAGGGGGCUGAACACCCCUUCAUUGUUAGAACGGAUCACAAAACUCUAGAAUACAUCAGGACGGCAAAACGCCUCAACUCCCGUGAAGCCAGAUGGGCAUUGUUUUUGCAGGUUUUUCUUUUUCCAUAACCUUCAGGCCCGGUUCCAAGAACGGGAAACCCGAUGCCCUAUCCUGGGUUUACGACAAGGAGGAGUUUGUUUCCCGAAGACCUGACUCCAUCCCCAGCCAGUGCGUCAUCGGUACCAUCACCUGGAAGGUGGAGGAGGACAUAAGAGCAGCACUCAAGAACGACCCAGGCCCCGGUAACGUGCCUCCUAUAUGUUCACGACGCCCUCUGUCCUACAGUGUUGAAAUGGGCCCAUGCUUCCCACCUGACUUGCCACCCUGGCAUCGGCCGCACCAAAGCAUUUCUUAAUAGGAGGUUCUGGUGGCCGUCUGUCAAUACGGAUGUCAGGUUGUAUGUUACUGCUUGUCCCACCUGUGCUCUCAACAAAGGUUCCAACCAGCCCAGUUCCGGUCAACUACACCCCUUGCCUGUCCUGAAACGUCCUUGGUCCCACCUGUCCUUGGACUUGGUUACCGGAUUACCCCCUCUGAUGGUAACACUGUGAUAUUAACUGUUGUCGACCGGUUCACAAAAUAUGCCUACUACAUUCCUCUGCCCAAGCUCCUGUCUGCCAGAGAAAUGGCAGACCUUCUUGUCAGAGAGGUCUUUCAACGCCAUGUCAGAGAGGUCUUUCAACGCCACGGCCUGCCCUCAGAUGUGGUGUCCGACCAAGGUCCCAAAUUCACAUCCAAUGUGUGGAAGGAAUUCUGCCACGCCAUCGGGGCCUCUGUCAGCCUGUCUUCCGGCUACCACCCUCAGUCGAACGGCCAGGCAGAGAGGGCCAACCAGAAGAUGGAGUCGACCCUUCGCUGCCUGGCCUCCUCUGACCCCACUCACUGGUCCUCCCAUCUCCCCUGGGUCGCUUACGCCCACAACACACAGCUUCCCACAGCUGCCACAGGUAUGUCCCCAUUUCAGAAUCUAUAUGGUUACCAACUCCCCUUGUUCCCUGCUCAGGCCCGGGGGGUCUAGUUCCUCGUCAACUGGGAGGGUUAUGAGCCUGAAGAGAGGAGCUGGAUUCCCCGCGGUCAUAUCCUGGAUGCCUCCCUCGUCAGGAUUCUGACA
Molecule: long non-coding RNA, 1305 nt
Organism: Esox lucius (northern pike)
Lineage: Eukaryota; Metazoa; Chordata; Actinopteri; Esociformes; Esocidae
Source: Ensembl